AUUGAACGCUGGCGGCAUGCUUUACACAUGCAAGUCGAACGGCAGCGGGGGCUUCGGCCCGCCGGCGAGUGGCGAACGGGUGAGUAAUGCAUCGGAACGUGCCCAGUCGUGGGGGAUAACACAUCGAAAGAUGUGCUAAUACCGCAUACGUCCUGAGGGAGAAAGCGGGGGAUCUUCGGACCUCGCGCGAUUGGAGCGGCCGAUGUCGGAUUAGCUAGUUGGUGGGGUAAAAGCCCACCAAGGCGACGAUCCGUAGCGGGUCUGAGAGGAUGAUCCGCCACACUGGGACUGAGACACGGCCCAGACUCCUACGGGAGGCAGCAGUGGGGAAUUUUGGACAAUGGGGGCAACCCUGAUCCAGCCAUGCCGCGUGAGUGAAGACGGCCU
This 387-nucleotide ribosomal RNA is filed under the name uncultured bacterium. Its description in RNAcentral is "bacterial SSU rRNA". It matches the Rfam family "Bacterial small subunit ribosomal RNA", at positions 28 to 417 of the family's 1533-position model. The record is from RNAcentral.